AUCACAAACAAUCAGCGAUGAUCUCCUCCUCCAUUAACAGCUACAUUAGCCAAAGCCUUUUUAUGGCGCCUACCCUUUUUUGGACCCCAACCCUCCAAUUUAGCGACGGGACAUCCACACCUUGCUCGGAAAAGCAAAACAGCUCUCCCAUUAGGCGGAGCCNAUUCAGCUCGAAGACAUUCAUAAUCAGGAUUCCCUUCACUCCCUCCUUUCCAUGGCAACUU
This 224-nucleotide unclassified non-coding RNA is filed under the name Hevea brasiliensis (rubber tree). The record is from RNAcentral. Lineage: Eukaryota; Viridiplantae; Streptophyta; Magnoliopsida; Malpighiales; Euphorbiaceae.